UUUUACUUUAUUUCCUGGUGUAUUGUGUAUUUUCACUAAAAACUUGCAUAUUUUGAAAGGUUGAAUAAUGCACUAGAGAAAGAUGCUUCAAAUAUGUAAAGCGGAUAAAAUGACUUUGUCAGUUCAAGGAUACAAGGGAAAUAUAAAGCGGAUAAAAUGACUUUGUCAGUUCAAGGAUACAAGGGAAAAUGUAAAGCGGAUAAAAUGACUUUGUCAGUUCAAGGAUACAAGGGAAAAUGUAAAGCGGAUAUAAUGACUUUGUCAGUUCAAGGAUACAAGGGAAAAUGUAAAGCGGAUAUAAUGACUUUGUCAGUUCAAGGAUACAAGGGAAAAUGUAAAGCGGAUAAAAUGACUUUGUCAGUUCAAGGAUACAAGGGAAAAUGUAAAGCGGAUAUAAUGACUUUGUCAGUUCAAGGAUACAAGGGAAAAUGUAAAGCGGAUAAAAUGACUUCGUCAGUUCAAGGAUACAAGGGAAAAUGUAAAGCGGAUAUAAUGACUUUGUCAGUUCAAGGAUACAACGGAAAAUGUAAAGUGGAUAUAAUGACUUUGUCAGUUCAAGGAUACAAGGGAAAAUGUAAAGCGGAUAUAAUGACUUUGUCAGUUCAAGGAUACAAGGGAAAAUGUAAGUGGAUAUAAUGACCUCGUCAGUUCAAGGAUACAAAGGUUAAAAGUAAGAUAACAAAAAUACCGAACUCCAAGGACAAUUCAAAAUGGAAAGUCCUUUAUCAAAUGGCAAAAUCAAAAACUCAAACACAUCAAACGAAUGGAAAACAACUGUCAUAUUCCUGACUUGGUACAGGCAUAUCCUUGUGUACAAAAUGGUGGAUUAAAUCUGGUUUUAUAGCUAGCUAAACCUCUCACUUGUAUGACAGUCGCAUAGGAUUUCAUUAUAUUGACAACAAUGUGUGAGCAAAACAAACAGAUAUAAUAGGUAAAAAUGUCAAAAAUUGGGGUACAGCAGUCAACAUUGCGUUAUAAUCUUAAUCACUAUAAAACUAACUAUUUCAACAACAACAAAAUAAUUGAAUAGACACUCUAUAGACAAAGUACAUGUCAAAAAUGAAAGACAAGAAUACGAAAAUGACCAUAGCACAAUAACACAAUGGCGAAAUGUAUAAAUACCGAACCACGCCAAAAGUAUAUUACAAAAAAAAUAACUAAACAGUAAAGGUCAACAAUACAUAAAGAAAAAGAAAAAGAACACUAUAACACGUAAUUAAGAUGAUAAACAACGUCAGUACCUAGAAUCUAUACUUCAAGACAUGUAUUAUUUGUGAAGUUGAUACGGAAUAUUUAUCAACAAGGUCUUGGAAUCUUCCGAUGAACUUUUUCAGAAAAAGAACGAGACGUUCUUUGACAUAACCCUGGUUCAUCAACUUUCUGCUCAGACACUGGUGAUUUUAUAAAGUCUGAGUAGCAGCUGCAAGCUCUUGGAUGUAAAGCGGAUAUGACCUUGCCAGUUCAAAGAUACAAGGAAAUAUGUAUAGCGGAUAUAAUGACCUUGUCAGUUCGAGGAUACAAGGGAAAAUGUAAAGUGGAUGUAAUGACCAUGUCAGUUCAAGGAUACAAGGGAAAAUGUAAAGCCGAUAUAAUGACCUUGUCAGUUCAAAGACACAUCCACACCCUCAUAAUACACUUCAAUGGCUUCAGACAACAGCGUUUGAAAAAAUAUUUUUUUUCUGGCAAAGGAAAUGAACAAUCUCCAGCAACAUGAUCAUAUCUAUUCUGUUCUAUACUACGUAUCAUCAUAUGUCAUAUUAAGUGAAGUAUUGCGAAGCACGUAUGGAACGGAUAUGUGCGGUGCAGGACAUUGGGAAAGGAUAUGAAUCAAAGAUGAUUAGAUAGACAGCUCCAUUUACGUGUGGUAACAGUUCAUGAAAAAUACAAAUAUUUUUAUAAGUAGCAUUUAAAGUUAGUCUUAAACAAGGAAAGUCGUCUAUGAAAAAUAGAGCAUAUGUGUGGUCAUUGUUUAUAAAAAAAAAUCCAUAAUGAUCAACCAAGUUGUGAUGGCGUUUGGAUACACUUUAAUUUACUAUCAAAGAAUACUGUUCAGUUCACAUGUAUGAGGAUCUGAAUAUGAAGGGACAAAAAAAAGGGGGGUGGCUCAUCAAUUGUGUGUUCUUUAACCUUUAGAGGGCCAUAUUUUUGUGUUCUUUCCCAUACAGACUCUUUUCGUAUUUGAUUUCACCUAUUAUUUCUUCCUUUGUAUCUUUUAAACAACAAAACAAGUGAUAAACAGUAGUGAUAUCUAACCUUCUUAUAAGUGUAUCCGAUAUAUAAUUUGUGCAAAAGCGUUCUUUAAGAAAUCUUCUAAUCUCAAAUGAUUGUAAGGGAAUGUCGUCCUUUUAACAGACAAAACAGAGGUUUACAGAAUAGAGAAUACUGGGCCAAGAUUAGAGAAAAAUAGGUGAAAAGUAAAGAACAGAGAAAAAUGGUUCCAAUAAAUUAAGAAUAGAGAAUAUUUAAUUGGAUGCUAAAAUAUAAGGAAUGGAGAAUAAUGGGCAAAAAAUACGAAGAAUAGAGAAAAAUUACCUUAAAAAUUAAAGAAAUUACAGAAAAGAAAACUUAAAGAAAUUACAGAAAAGAAAACUUAAAGAAAUUAAAAACCAAUUGUUCAGAGAACAAUUGAAGGUCUUUCCACCCAUGAAGAUCAAUUUUGAUAUAGAACUAUAAAAAUUCAGUUUGAUAUAUCAUAUCCAGCGUCAAAUGAUAGCUUAUUGUACACUGAUUCCAAAAAUAUAUGGUUUCUAUACAUUUUUUUUCUAAAUAAGGGAGAUAAAUUGUUACUUUCGGUUUGAAAUAUGUCACUUCCGGUUGUAUUUGAUAGUUUACUUGAUACUGAUUCCAAAAAUUUAUGGUUCAAUAUACUUUAUCAUUAAAUAAGUACAAAAAAUAGCUACUUCCGGUUUACACCAGGUCACUUCCGGUUGGCUUUUCCAUGGUCAAGUGUCUUGCAUCGUAAUGCAAAAAGUCCCAUGGCUUUAUCAUGUAUACAUAUGAGGUAAAAGCAAAGGUCAAAAUCUAGAACGUCAAUUUUACCUAUGACCUUGAGUUCAUGUCGCAACUUACAAUUUAGUAAAAAUAUGUUGUCGAUAUCUUAUACGGUUUUUGAAAAGAAUUGAAAAAAAGCCAAAAUCAAAAUUUAAAAUAUGACCUUGACCUCUGACCUUGACCUAAUUUUCUUUUUUUUUUGGUCAAGAACCUCAAAUCAAAAGAUCCUAUGUCUCUAUCACUUAUGGUUUACAAGAUAGAAAUGCAUAUCACUUAUAUCACAUGCAUAAGGGGAAAUAACUCUCAUAUGGAGUGUUCAUAUCGCUUCAGUCAAAAUAGGACAAAUCAUGCGAAGGAUAUAACGAGAAAUUUUAUAAAAUAAAUUUGUCGCUUUCUUUUGCGGUUACGGAGGAGAUGCAGUCACAAGGAAAACAGUGUUCGGGGAGAUAACUCUUACAAAGAAAAUUGUUCUGCUUACAAUGGGUAAAAAUAAAAAGCGCAUAAACUGUAUGAUACUAUAUAAAAAAUAUCUUAGCGACAUAUUGUGAAACAAAAAUUUUACGCGAGAACAAAAUUUGGCGGAAGAAAAUAA
Molecule: long non-coding RNA, 3583 nt
Organism: Mytilus californianus (California mussel)
Lineage: Eukaryota; Metazoa; Mollusca; Bivalvia; Mytilida; Mytilidae
Exons: 3
Source: RefSeq, a predicted model, not a curated record